This 253-nucleotide ribosomal RNA is filed under the name uncultured bacterium. Its description in RNAcentral is "partial 16S ribosomal RNA". It matches the Rfam family "Bacterial small subunit ribosomal RNA", at positions 524 to 776 of the family's 1533-position model. The record is from RNAcentral.
UACGUAGGGGGCAAGCGUUGUCCGGAUUUAUAGGGCGUAAAGAGCGUGUAGGCGGUCAGGUAGGUCCGUUGUGAAAACUCGAGGCUCAACCUCGAGACGCCGAUGGAAACCAUCUGACUAGAGUCCGGAAGAGGAGAGUGGAAUUCCUGGUGUAGCGGUGAAAUGCGCAGAUAUCAGGAAGAACACCCGUGGCUAAGGCGGCUCUCUAGUACGGUACUGACGCUGAGACGCGAAAGCGUGGGGAGCGAACAGG